GUGGGGAAUAUUGGACAAUGGGCGCAAGCCUGAUCCAGCCAUGCCGCGUGAGUGAUGAAGGCCUUAGGGUUGUAAAGCUCUUUCAGUGGGGACGAUAAUGACGGUACCCACAGAAGAAGCCCCGGCUAACUUCGUGCCAGCAGCCGCGGUAAUACGAAGGGGGCUAGCGUUGUUCGGAUUUACUGGGCGUAAAGCGCACGUAGGCGGAUCGUUAAGUCGGGGGUGAAAUCCUGGAGCUCAACUCCAGAACUGCCUUCGAUACUGGCGAUCUUGAGGCCGGAAGGGGUGAGUGGAACUCCUAGUGUAGAGGUGGAAUUCGUAGAUAUUAGGAAGAACACCAGUGGCGAAGGCGGCUCACUGGUCCGGUACUGACGCUGAGGUGCGAAAGCGUGGGGAGCAAACAGGAUUAGAAACCCCAGUAGUCC
RNAcentral lists this ribosomal RNA (425 nucleotides) under uncultured bacterium. Its description in RNAcentral is "partial 16S ribosomal RNA". It matches the Rfam family "Bacterial small subunit ribosomal RNA", at positions 354 to 796 of the family's 1533-position model. The record is from RNAcentral.